CACGUUAUCUGGGCUGGCUGCACUUAAUGUGGUCAAAUCUUCUUUUCUUUUUCUUUAUCUGUGGUCAUUUUAUUGCUAAGACAUGAUAAGCUAAGAAUAGAGAACUAGCUAUUAUUUCUUUCAAUUUUAAUUUCAGAAAAGUGAUUUUUUCCUUGUUAUGGUGCAGAUGUUAACAGGAGGUACCUUGCUGCUAAGGAAUAAAUAUUUCAUUGUUAUAUACCGUGGGAAAGACUUUGUUCCAACAAGUGUGGCUGCAGUUUUAGCUGAAAGAGAGGAAUUGACAAAACAGGUACAGGACGUUGAAGAC
Cajanus cajan (pigeon pea) is the source of this 307-nucleotide non-coding RNA. The record is from RefSeq and is a predicted model, not a curated record. Lineage: Eukaryota; Viridiplantae; Streptophyta; Magnoliopsida; Fabales; Fabaceae.